RNAcentral lists this ribosomal RNA (523 nucleotides) under uncultured bacterium. RNAcentral's name for it is "bacterial SSU rRNA". It matches the Rfam family "Bacterial small subunit ribosomal RNA", at positions 28 to 527 of the family's 1533-position model. The record is from RNAcentral.
GACGAACGCUGGCGGCGUGCCUAACACAUGCAAGUCGAGCGGAGUCGAUCGACGGAAGCCUUCGGGCGGAAGAUGGUUGACUUAGCGGCGGAUGGGUGAGUAACGCGUGGGCAACCUGCCUCGAAGACCGGGAUAACAGCCCGAAAGGGCUGCUAAUACCGGAUGUGGUCAAAGAUCCGCAUGGAUUUUUGAUUAAAGGGGAAACCCGUUUCGAGAUGGGCCCGCGUCCUAUCAGCUAGUUGGUGAGGUAAAAGCUCACCAAGGCGACGACGGGUAGCCGGCCUGAGAGGGUGACCGGCCACACUGGAACUGAGACACGGUCCAGACUCCUACGGGAGCAGCAGUAGGGAAUAUUGGGCAAUGGGCGAAAGCCUGACCCAGCCAUGCCGCGUGAAGGAAGACGGCCUUAUGGGUUGUAAACUUCUUACUACGCGAAUAGAGGUUAGUACGAGAUACUAAUAGGAAGUAGUGUAGUAAAAAGAACCGGCUAACUCCGUGCCAAGGCAGCCGCGGUAAGAUCACG